UGGUUUUCAUAGAGCUAUACAUUUAAUUUGAUUUUAUUAACUCUGUAUUUCAUGAUAACUUUUAAUGUGGAUUAAAUCUCCUGGUUAAUGUCUAUAAACAGACAACAUCUAAGGAAGUAAACCAGCGCCAUUAACAACUGAACGCACUUGCUCUGGUAUGACACUGAAGCCUCCUAACUGAGUGACUUUGUAGCUCCUUGCCCAUCAGCUCCAGCGGAGAGAAGAAAGCCAAAACCUCUGGCAGAAGAGGCUGAUAGUAUCAGCACAGCAGCAGCACAUAGAAGCUUCUGGGCACUCAUGCAGUAUUUUUCACUCAUAUUUGUUUCCUGACACAAACAUCUCUUUUAACGUUACUUCCAGAUCUCUAGGAAGAGGACAAAACUCUUCUUGGCAGGUCCUAUGAAAAAUCCAUGGACAGUCAAUCAGGUGUUUCCCCACCACCACCUAUUUGGAUGGAAGCUGGGCUUUCUAGUAUACAAAAUAACAGGAUGAGGGAAUGCGUAGCUGAUGCCUACACCUUCCUGAGCUCUAAGCAACAUCUGCAUUUCUCUGGAGUCAUACAUGGAACUAAAGAAAAUACAGAUUUUUGAGUUUAUCAGAUUGUGUGUCAAUUUAAUUUUUAAUUAAUUUUAAUUUAUUUUUGAUAAAUUUCAUUUAAUUUUUAGUUAAUAUUCAUUAAUAGAGUCAGUUGUGUUAGUCCUGUUCCCUCAAAGAUGUUCAUAAGUUUGUUUGAGUACUACCUUUUUCUUUUCAGUUUUCCUUGUGACAGGUACAAUCUGACUGCUGGAACAUCUCGUUUCCUUCCUUUUUGAUUUCUCUCCCCUUUUUCUCAUUCCUUUUACUCUUCAAUUUUUCGCUUUUCCUUUCUUUUGUUUGGUAUUUACUUGCAUCUCCAAUUAAUUCAUCCCUGUUGAUCUAGCUCUGUCCUCAGGUACAAAUACUAAAUCAUAUUACUUUCAAAUAUGGGAGUUUCUCUGUGGUAAAUGUAACCUUUAUCUAUUAUCACUUGUCUGUGCAGUGCAUCAUUAAAAAGAGAGACUUGAAAAUGAGUUGGCACAUUGUUUUUAGAGAGGU
RNAcentral lists this long non-coding RNA (1074 nucleotides) under Dromaius novaehollandiae (emu). RNAcentral's name for it is "lncRNA (ENSDNVG00000006973.1)". Lineage: Eukaryota; Metazoa; Chordata; Aves; Casuariiformes; Dromaiidae. The record is from RNAcentral.